Molecule: ribosomal RNA, 468 nt
Filed under: uncultured bacterium
Lineage: Bacteria
Description: partial 16S ribosomal RNA
Rfam family: Bacterial small subunit ribosomal RNA
Source: RNAcentral
GACGAACGCUGGCGGCGUGCUUAACACAUGCAAGUCGAACGGACAGGCCAUGCUUUUGUGGGGUGCUCGAGUGGCGAACGGGUGAGUAACACGUGAGUAACCUGCCCUUGACUUUGGGGUAACUUCAGGAGACUGGGGCUCAUACCGGGUAGGAGCUCCUGCUGCGUGGGGGGGGUUGGAGAGUGUCGGCGGUUGGGGAUGGAAUCGCGGCUUAUCAGCUGGUUGGUGGGGUAGGGGCGUACCAGGGCUAUGACGGGUAGCCGGCCUGGGAGGGUGACCGGCGACAUGGGGACUGCGAGAGGCACCAGACUCGUACGGUACGCAGCAGUGGGGAACAUGACACAACGGGCGGAAGCCUGAUGCAGAAACCCUCCGUGCGGGAAGCCGGCUUUCGGGUGGUAAACCGCUGUCUCCUGAGACGAAGAGUGAGUGACGGUAACGGGUAAAGAAGCACCGGCUAACUACGUG